ACGGUCCAGACUCCUACGGGAGGCAGCAGUGGGGAAUAUUGCACAAUGGGCGCAAGCCUGAUGCAGCCAUGCCGCGUGUAUGAAGAAGGCCUUCGGGUUGUAAAGUACUUUCAGCGAGGAGGAAGGCAUUAAGGUUAAUAACCUUAGUGAUUGACGUUACUCGCAGAAGAAGCACCGGCUAACUCCGUGCCAGCAGCCGCGGUAAUACGGAGGGUGCAAGCGUUAAUCGGAAUUACUGGGCGUAAAGCGCACGCAGGCGGUCUGUCAAGUCGGAU
RNAcentral lists this ribosomal RNA (275 nucleotides) under Citrobacter freundii. Its description in RNAcentral is "partial 16S ribosomal RNA". It matches the Rfam family "Bacterial small subunit ribosomal RNA", at positions 326 to 593 of the family's 1533-position model. RNAcentral also lists the same sequence under 2 other names. Lineage: Bacteria; Pseudomonadati; Pseudomonadota; Gammaproteobacteria; Enterobacterales; Enterobacteriaceae. The record is from RNAcentral.